This 460-nucleotide ribosomal RNA is filed under the name uncultured bacterium. RNAcentral's name for it is "partial 16S ribosomal RNA". It matches the Rfam family "Bacterial small subunit ribosomal RNA", at positions 338 to 795 of the family's 1533-position model. The record is from RNAcentral.
CCUACGGGAGGCAGCAGUGAGGAAUAUUGGUCAAUGGGCGCGAGCCUGAACCAGCCAAGUAGCGUGAAGGAUGACUGCCCUACGGAUUGUAAACUUCUUUUAUAAAGGAAUAAAGUGCGGCACGUGUGCCUUUUUGUAUGUACUUUAUGAUUAAGGAUCGGCUAACUCUGUGCCAGCAGCCGCGGUAAUACGGAGGAUCCGAGCGUUAUCCGGAUUUACUGGGUUUAAAGGGAGCGUAGAUGGGUUGUUAAGUCAGUUGUGAACGUCUGAGGCUCAACCGUAAAAUUGCAAUUGAUACUGGCAGUCUUGAGUACAGUUGAGGUAGGCGGAAUUCGUGGUGUAGCGGUGAAAUGCGUAGAUAUCACGAAGAACUCCGAUUGCGAAGGCAGCUUACUAAACUGCCACUGACAUUGAUGCUCGAAAGUGUGGGUAUCAAACAGGAUUAGAUACCCCGGUAGUC